This 600-nucleotide ribosomal RNA is filed under the name Pseudomonas putida. Its description in RNAcentral is "bacterial SSU rRNA". It matches the Rfam family "Bacterial small subunit ribosomal RNA", at positions 44 to 637 of the family's 1533-position model. Lineage: Bacteria; Pseudomonadati; Pseudomonadota; Gammaproteobacteria; Pseudomonadales; Pseudomonadaceae. The record is from RNAcentral.
AGGCCUAACACAUGCAAGUCGAGCGGAUGACGGGAGCUUGCUCCUUGAUUCAGCGGCGGACGGGUGAGUAAUGCCUAGGAAUCUGCCUGGUAGUGGGGGACAACGUUUCGAAAGGAACGCUAAUACCGCAUACGUCCUACGGGAGAAAGCAGGGGACCUUCGGGCCUUGCGCUAUCAGAUGAGCCUAGGUCGGAUUAGCUAGUUGGUGGGGUAAUGGCUCACCAAGGCGACGAUCCGUAACUGGUCUGAGAGGAUGAUCAGUCACACUGGAACUGAGACACGGUCCAGACUCCUACGGGAGGCAGCAGUGGGGAAUAUUGGACAAUGGGCGAAAGCCUGAUCCAGCCAUGCCGCGUGUGUGAAGAAGGUCUUCGGAUUGUAAAGCACUUUAAGUUGGGAGGAAGGGCAGUAAGCUAAUACCUUGCUGUUUUGACGUUACCGACAGAAUAAGCACCGGCUAACUCUGUGCCAGCAGCCGCGGUAAUACAGAGGGUGCAAGCGUUAAUCGGAAUUACUGGGCGUAAAGCGCGCGUAGGUGGUUUGUUAAGUUGGAUGUGAAAAGCCCCGGGCUCACCUGGGAAACUGCAUCCAAAAACUGGC